Molecule: long non-coding RNA, 225 nt
Filed under: Setaria italica (foxtail millet)
Lineage: Eukaryota; Viridiplantae; Streptophyta; Magnoliopsida; Poales; Poaceae
Description: long non-coding RNA (SITA_LNC002199)
Source: RNAcentral
GCUUGUCGCCAACACCAAAACAUUAUUAAGAUCUCAGGACAUGAAGCUAAUAGCCGACAUGGAUCAGAUUUGCCUGCGUGAGAUUGAGGCCCUUGAGAAGGCUUUGUAAAAAUACUUCACUCCCUUCUUUACGUCGGCUUUUACACAACUCUCAUGCACCCAUCUUGCUUGCAAUGUUUGGUGACAACAUUAUGUAUCAACCCAGAUGCUAAAAUAGUAUUUCUU